GUCAGUGUGGUGUAGUGGUUUGAGUGUUGGACUACAACUCUGGAGACCAGGGUUCGAUUCCCAGACCUGCUG
Phrynosoma platyrhinos (Desert horned lizard) is the source of this 72-nucleotide non-coding RNA. The record is from the annotation of a GenBank genome assembly. NCBI's taxonomy places the organism in Eukaryota, Metazoa, Chordata, Lepidosauria, Squamata, Phrynosomatidae.